Molecule: long non-coding RNA, 1032 nt
Filed under: Bos grunniens (domestic yak)
Lineage: Eukaryota; Metazoa; Chordata; Mammalia; Artiodactyla; Bovidae
Description: lncRNA (ENSBGRG00000020682.1)
Source: RNAcentral
CCUCCAGGAUCCCAGACACAGGAUCGUGGGAUAAGAGAUGCCGCUUCUGACGGACGUGGUCUCAGGCGGCCAGGCCUGGACACAGGGGCCUGGGCGGCCUGGGUGCUGGGAUGUGGGUCUUUCUCCAGCUGGGCUGGUGGAAGCUUCCAGAACUGGAGCAACCCCUCCCCCCACCCCGGGGAGAGGGAGGCACCUGCUGCCAGGGCUGGGCGGUCGGUCGGGGUUUCCUGGCUAUUUCGGGUGUUAGGGCCUCUUGGUUUCGCCAGGCCAGCUGCGUGGGGUGAGGGUGUGGGGCCCGUGGGGAGCCCCGGGGGUGCUGGCCUGAGGCUGCUGGGCCCCAACAGCCCAGUGCCAACGGCGACAACUGUCAACCCCAGAGACCCGCAAACGUCCAUUUUCCACCUGACCGUCCCUCCCGGGCCCCCAGGGAGCGAGGUUCCACUGUCACCGGCCCAGCUGCACAGAGGGCACUCUGGCCCCCAGCCCCCAACCCAGAAUCAGGGCUGUCCCGGCCCCUGGCAGCCUCGGGGCUCAGCUGUGGCCCCUGGGGCAGCCUGGCAGGGCGCCCAGCCAUGCCCUGGCUGUUUCUCCAGGGGACCACUUGCUCUCUGCAUGCUGUCCCUUGGCCCCUGUCCCCAGUCGGGAGCCCCCAACAGGGCUGCCUUACCAUCGCCGAGGUCCCUGCAAGCAGUGGGCGCUCAGGAAAUCACUGCUGAGCCGGGGCUUUGCUCUGGGCCCUGGCCCACCCGGGCCUCACCCGCUCACUCUGGUCCACCUGGGCCUCACCCACAUGGGCCCUGGUCUACCUGGGCCUCACCCACUCACCCUGUCCACCUGGGCCUCACCCGCUCACCCUGGUCCACCUGGGCCUCACCCACUCGCCCUGGUCCACCCGGGCCUCACCCACUCGCCCUGGUCUACCUGGGCCUCACCCACUCGCCCUGUCCACCCGGGCCUCACCCGCUCACUCUGGUCCACCUGGGCCUCACCCACAUGGGCCCUGGUCUACCUGGGCCUCACCCACUCGCCCUG